UACGUAGGGUGCAAGCGUUAAUCGGAAUUACUGGGCGUAAAGCGUGCGCAGGCGGUGUUGUAAGACAGUUGUGAAAUCCCCGGGCUCAACCUGGGAACUGCAUCUGUGACUGCAUCGCUGGAGUGCGGCAGAGGGGGAUGGAAUUCCGCGUGUAGCAGUGAAAUGCGUAGAUAUGCGGAGGAACACCGAUGGCGAAGGCAAUCCCCUGGGCCUGCACUGACGCUCAUGCACGAAAGCAUGGGGAGCGAACAGG
This 253-nucleotide ribosomal RNA is filed under the name uncultured bacterium. RNAcentral describes it as "partial 16S ribosomal RNA". It matches the Rfam family "Bacterial small subunit ribosomal RNA", at positions 524 to 776 of the family's 1533-position model. The record is from RNAcentral.